CAGCAGGACGGGGACGCGACGGGAGGGAAGUCGUCAGGUGUCACGUCUGUCAUGUCACAGUCCUUCCAGGCCUGGGUCAAAACGCAUUUCUGAAACGGGACACUUUAACUCUCGCGACGCCGGUUUUGGUUGAGCUAUUUUAGCAUGUCUCCUGGGUUAGCACUGCUGCUGAACUGUUCAGGCGGAUCUGUGAGCUUGUUAAGAAGAAGGUAGCUGAGCUACUGUGGUCCCCGGGCACAGCCGGUCAUCGUACGAGCAGGCCGGAAAAAUAUGCUCGUCAGCCAGAAGAUGAGUGGGGAGCCCUGGGAUUUGAAAUACACUCAGACGCCCUCGAAUAUUACCGCCAGAAGAAGACUGGGUGUACGGAUUUAGUCACAACGUGAGCUUAAAGGAUGAGCUCACCGCACAUUUACCGUUUCUCCAGAGUGCGCUGCGCCGUGACUAGACUUUUCAUGCUAAUUCUUUUCCAACAAGAUCGACGUUGGUGUCAACAAUUCCACCUACUUUGUUUGUCCAUUCAAUCACAGCCUGGUCUUAGGACAUGUCUUUCAUUUUAGGAUCAGCCUCUCAUGCCCUGAUUAUACAUUUCUGCCCCAUCCAUGUUUCACAAUUAUAAUCGUUCAUUAGGGCCAUCUUGUGUGUAUUCCAAUCCAUGUUUUGGACCGAAGUGAUGAGUGCCAUCGUCUCGGAUCGGAUUUGGCUCACGCCAGUGCCUACUGUGGCCGCCAGCCCUGCCCUGGGCGGCGCACAAUUGCCUUUCCGUUGCCCAAGAGAUUUAUGGGAAGGAUUCAGUCAGUGGGGAUGGCACUGUUCCUUGCUCUAGUGACCCCCGUUGGCUUUCCGAACACCCGUGGCUUGCUCUCGGGGGUAACCGUAUGAUUGGGUCUCCUCCGCCCCCGCUCUGUGUGUGCACGGCUAGUGGGUGCGGUGUGAAAAGAAGCAGCUGGCUGGCACUGUGUGUUUUGGAGAACUCUCCUUAGCAGGCUGCAGGGGGGUGAUAUUUGAGCACGCUUGUACUUAGUUUGGAAAUUGUACAUUCCAAAUUUGGAUUGCAGAUGGCAAAUUUUAAAAAAAGAAAAAGAAAACACUUGACUCCUCAGCAAACCACUCCUAAAGGUAACUGCAAAGCUAAAGGCAGACCACAUUAUUAUAUUAUUAAAUCAUAUUAUACCAUAUUAUAAAAGUUAGUUUUGAAAGUAAGUCCAUGGACAUUGAUAAAUGUAUCAUUCGUGACUGAGAACAAUAAUGCUAAAGUGACAUGGAUAGGUGACUAAGCACUCAUGCUUGUAGUCAUUAUUCAGAAAGGCAAUUGGGCACAAUUGUUUGUCUUUAAACCCACAGAAAAAUAUCAACCUUGGCAGAAAUGGAGAAAUAACUCUGAAAGGAACCUUUGCUUCCUGCAUAUGAAGGCUUCCUUCCUUCCAUCAGCAUGCAGGAGACUAAAUCAACACACUGUCGUUCACCAUCUGGG
Molecule: long non-coding RNA, 1471 nt
Organism: Anguilla anguilla (European eel)
Lineage: Eukaryota; Metazoa; Chordata; Actinopteri; Anguilliformes; Anguillidae
Exons: 3
Source: RefSeq, a predicted model, not a curated record